This 862-nucleotide long non-coding RNA is filed under the name Homo sapiens (human). RNAcentral's name for it is "non-protein coding lnc-C16orf71-1:1". Lineage: Eukaryota; Metazoa; Chordata; Mammalia; Primates; Hominidae. The record is from RNAcentral.
CCACCUGGAGGCUUCUCUGCAGCAGGAGCAGGAGCUGUUACCCUUCUAAUCCCCACAAUGACCCCAGCCUAAUAAUACAAUAAUCCCCAAGUAGAACCAGGGGCCCAAGGCCCCCUCGUCAGCUGGGCUCCCACCUCCAAGCUGACGCCCUCAACCACUCUGCUGGGGUGAGCAAACCCAGGCCCCACAGCUGGCUAGCGGGAUAUCCGUGUCCACGAUUGGCGCCAUGUGUUUUAAGUUGCAGCGUCAAAAACAUGAAGAGAUUGCUUUAGCAAAUAUUUACCCAGUCCUGACUCUGCACAUGGCAUCGUUCUAGGAGCCCAAAGAUGUUAACUUGUUUAAUAAUCAAGCCCUGUGAAGGUCUCACUUUGUCACCCAAGUUGGAGUGCAGAGGCACAAUGACAGCUCACUGCAGCCUCGACUUCCUGGGUUCAAGUGAUCCUCCUGCCCCAGCCUCCCUAGUAGCUGGGACUUCAGGGAGUUUAUAGCAUCUGUGGAUUUUGGUACCCACGGAGGUGCUGGAACCAAUCGUUGAGGAUUCCAAGGACAACUCUAUGAUGCAGGCACACCUGUCCUAGCUGCUCAAGGGUCGUGGGAUGCAGGUAGGUUUUCUCCCCCUUCCCCCUCCCUCCCACCCACCUUCUCUCCCAUCUCUCUCUCUUUCAUUCACGAAGUCAGCAGUGGCCAAGCACACAGGUGUUCCCAGCUGCAUAUCUGGGAUACUGAGGAAAGGUAAGAAGUCUCAGGAGUGAAGAAGCCACAGGCCGGCGUCUUCCUCCCUGGGCCUCCAGCAGUGGGGAGCCAGGGAGCGCACCUGCUGGGCCUGGGCCCUCUCCCCUGGGCUGGGCGGCCUCUGCUGGCC